ACACGAGGUCUGAGAGAGAGAGGCAGCGUGUUUGAGCUGCUGGUGCGGUGGUCAGCGCGAUGCCCAAGGCCAAGGGCAAAACCCGGAGGCAGAAGUUUGGUUACAGUGUCAACCGAAAGCGUCUGAACCGGAAUGCUCGACGGAAGGCAGCGCCGCGGAUCGAAUGGUGAGGGGGCUGGGGUUCCGGGUGGCCGUGGGCCUCGGCCGGGACGGUCCGCGAGAUGACGGAUCCGCGAUGUCUCUCUUUGCCGGUAGCUCCCACAUCCGACAUGCCUGGGACCACGCUAAAUCGGUGCGGCAGAACCUGGCCGAGAUGGGGUUGGCUGUGGACCCCAACAGGGCGGUGCCCCUCCGUAAGAGAAAGGUGAAGGCCAUGGAGGUGGACAUAGAGGAGAGGCCUAAAGAGCUUGUACGGAAGCCCUAUGUGCUGAAUGCCCCUGGCAACCAUGUCAAAGAUAAUUUUGACUAUACACAAUAUGAGGACCUAACCCCUGGAUAUGAUUCGACUACUUC
Molecule: small RNA, 513 nt
Filed under: Pan troglodytes (chimpanzee)
Lineage: Eukaryota; Metazoa; Chordata; Mammalia; Primates; Hominidae
Description: retained intron
Source: RNAcentral